GGGGGCCUAAGGCGAGGACGAGAGUCGUAGCCGAUGGACAACAGGUGGAGAUUCCUGUACUGCGGUAUGACAGAACUGUGGGGACACGUAAGGAAAGCGGAAGCCGGGAAUGGAAAGCCCGGUGCAAGCGGGGUACCAGUCACUUUGGCAAAUCCGGGUGGCAAUGGGAAGCCGUGAUGCGGAGUGAAAUAAAGUAGCGAAGUCCGUGAGCCAUGCGUCAAGAAAAGCCGCUAUCGUUUAUACCGUACCGGUACCGUAAACCGACACAGGUGGAUGAGGAGAGAAUCCUAAGGCCGGCGGAAGAGGCAUUGUCAAGGAACUCGGCAAAAUGGCCCCGUAACUUAGGGAUAAGGGGUGCCUGGGAAACCAGGCCGCAGGGAAUAGGCUCAAGCGACUGUUUAGCAAAAACACAGGUCUAUGCGAAACCGAAAGGUGAGGUAUAUGGGCUGACGCCUGCCCGGUGCUGGAAGGUUAAGAGGAGAGGUUAGCGGUAACGCGAAGCUUUGAAUUUAAGCCCCAGUAAACGGCGGCCGUAACAAUAACGGUCCUAAGGUAGCGAAAUUCCUUGUUGGGUAAGUUCCGACCCGCACGAAAGGCGUAAUGAUUUGAGCGCUGUCUCGACAAUGCAUCCGGUGAAAUUGAAGUACCAGCGAAGAUGCUGGUUACCUGCGCCAGGACGGAAAGACCCCAUGGAGCUUUACUCCAGUCUGGUACUGGGACUCGGUAUUGCAUGUACAGGAUAGGUGGGAGGCUAGGAGAUGGUAACGCCAGUUGCCAUGGAGCCGCUGUUGGGAUACCACCCUUGCAGUAUUGGGUUUCUAACCAGCCGCCGUGACCCGGCGGUGGGACAAUGCCAGACGGGGAGUUUGACUGGGGCGGUCGCCUCCGAAAGGGUAUCGGAGGCGCCCAAAGGUUCCCUCAGAAUGGACGGAAACCAUUCGAAGAGUGCAAAGGCAGAAGGGAGCUUGACUGCGACACCGACGGGUGGAGCAGGUACGAAAGUAGGGCUUAGUGAUCCGGUGGUACUAAGUGGGAAUGCCAUCGCUCAACGGAUAAAAGCUACCCUGGGGAUAACAGGCUUAUCACUCCCAAGAGUUCACAUCGACGGAGUGGUUUGGCACCUCGAUGUCGGCUCAUCGCAUCCUGGGGCUGUAGUAGGUCCCAAGGGUUGGGCUGUUCCCCAUUAAAGCGGUACGCGAGCUGGGUUCAGAACGUCGUGAGACAGUUCGGUCCCUAUCCGGCGUGGGCGUAGGAUAUCUGAGAGGAGCUGUCCUUAGUACGAGAGGACCGGGAUGGGCGGGCCGCUGGUGCAUCGGUUAGACUGCCAAGUCUACGGCCGAGUAGCCAAGCCCGGAAGGGAUAAACGCUGAAGGCAUCUAAGCGUGAAGCCCCCCUUAAGAUGAGAUAUCCCAUUCGUUAAGAAGUAAACCCCCUUGAAGACGACGAGGUAGAUAGGGCAGAGGUGGAAGUGUAGCAAUGCAUGGAGCUGACUGUUACUAAUCGGGUGAGGGCUUGAUCA
Molecule: ribosomal RNA, 1519 nt
Filed under: metagenome
Description: bacterial LSU rRNA
Rfam family: Bacterial large subunit ribosomal RNA
Source: RNAcentral